Molecule: non-coding RNA, 93 nt
Organism: Mycena leptocephala
Lineage: Eukaryota; Fungi; Basidiomycota; Agaricomycetes; Agaricales; Mycenaceae
Source: the annotation of a GenBank genome assembly
GGUCUCGUAGCUCAGCAGUUAGAGGGUUGGAUGCUCUUAUUAUUCCAGUGUCUGUGUCAUCCGAAAACCAGGGUUCGACUCCCUGCGAGACUG